RNAcentral lists this long non-coding RNA (472 nucleotides) under Olea europaea (common olive). RNAcentral describes it as "long non-coding RNA (OEUR_LNC003082)". Lineage: Eukaryota; Viridiplantae; Streptophyta; Magnoliopsida; Lamiales; Oleaceae. The record is from RNAcentral.
AUGGGGAUACAGAUAUGAUCGUACACUUAUAGGCCCACUUCCUUCCUUCAGUGUGAUGACAUGUUUAUGAUCUCGCAAUGGACCCCAUAGGGGCCUAAAAAACAUCCUUGUAUUUUGCUAGUAUCUCCUGGAUAGGCUGGGAAAUUUCAAGCUCAAACUUCUGCCCACUCACUUGCACCGAGCAUAACUCCACUACCAUCCUUUCCCCUUCCCUCUAUAAAGUAUUAAUCAUUGAUUUUAAGGAUACCAAUGACCUGCUCGGCCCUUAUUUACCUCUCAGUGUAAUGGUGUCACUCCCCAAUGGUAUUUUCAUUACCAAUGUCUUCCAAUUGACUUGAACCGUACCCAAGAUACUCAGCCACUGCAUCCCUAGAAUCAUAUCAGAGCUUCCCAGUUCUAUAGGCAAGAACUCUUCCACCACCAUCAAGGAUUGCACAUGUAGGAUCACUCCCCUACAUUUUCCACUUCCCAG